This 91-nucleotide ribosomal RNA is filed under the name uncultured bacterium. Its description in RNAcentral is "partial 16S ribosomal RNA". The record is from RNAcentral.
UUGUAAACCGCUGUCAAUGGAGGGGAAACAUGUGGUGUUAACAGCGCCACAUUUGACUGCUCCGUAAAGGAAGCCCCGGCAAAACAUGUGC